GUUGUGCAUGGAGAGGCAGAACAUGAUGAAGCAUUUUUCUCCCAUUGAAAGAUCCAGUCAGGCUCCAGUUUGCAGGGGGCAGAGAGGCUGGCUUGCAGUUGGUGCUGGGAGGAUGGAGGCGCCAGCCAUGGACAGAAGACUGCAAGAGCCCAGAGCGGACCUGGACCGGGGAUUCGGUCACACACACUGGAUGCCUACCACAGCAUGGUGUGCCAAGUGGUGCCAUGUUCGCACUCGGGAUUCGAACCAGCGAACCCCAGGCCGCUGAGAAACAGAACGUGCGAACUUAACCGCUGUGCCACCGGGCCGGCCCCAACCAUGAAAUUCUUGAUUGUGCCAUAUUCUCUUGCACCCCAAGCUUGUCUGAAAUCCUUUCCCCCACCUCAGUAUUCACUCCCCCCUCCCCUUCACCUAACUCCUCGUUAUUUUCAGCUAUUCCACGUUACCUCCUCCUUCAGGGAGCUUUCUCUAACCCGCAAGGUUUUGAUAGCUGCUUCGUUUGGGCUCCCACAGUCUCCUGCCUUUCCCUGAUUCUAGCCCUAACACUGUAUUCUAAAGGGCAAUUUAUUUGUCUCCUAACUGGACUUGAGCUCCACAAGGGCAAGAGCCAUCUCUUAUUCAACAUGGUUUGUUGUUUGUUGAAUGAAUAAAAGGCAAUUCGUG
This 663-nucleotide long non-coding RNA is filed under the name Equus asinus (donkey). Its description in RNAcentral is "lncRNA (ENSEASG00005024283.1)". The record is from RNAcentral. Lineage: Eukaryota; Metazoa; Chordata; Mammalia; Perissodactyla; Equidae.